GAGAAAAUAACAAAAAAUAUAAAGAAGAGAGAAAAAUAAACAAAAAAGUUAAAAGAAGAGAGAAAAAUAAACAAAAAGUAUAAAGAAGAGAGAAAAAUAAACAAAAAGUAUAAAGAAGAAAGAAAAUAAACAAAAAGUAUAAAAGAAGAGAGAAAAAUAACAAAAGUAUAAGAAGAGAGAAAAAUAACAAAAGUAUAACGAACAGAGAAAAAAUAAAGACAAAAUAGUAUAAGAAGAAGAGAAAAUAAACAAAAGUAUAAAGAGAGAGAAAUCAACAAAAAGUAUAAAGAACGGAGAGAAAAAGUAAACGAAAAGUAUAAGAAGAGAGAAAUUUAAAACAAAAAGUAUAAAGAAGAGAAGAAAAAUCAACAAAAUGUAUGAAAGAGAGGGGAAAACUAAACAAAAGGUAAUAAAAGAAGAGAGAAAAAAUCAAAAAGUAUAGAAAGAAGGAAAAGAAAUAACAUAAAAAGGUUAAAAGAAGAGGAGAAAAUAAACAAAGUAUGAAAGGAAGAGAGAAAAUAAACAAAAGUAUUAAAGAAGAGAGAAAAUAAGAGCAAAAGUAUAAAGAAGAAAAGAAAAAAAAAAAAUUUAAACAAAAAAAAAAAGGUAAUAAAGAAGGAGAGAAAAGAUAAACAGAAGUCUAAGAGAAGAUAAGAAAAAUAAAACAAAAAAGUAUAAAGAAGAGAGAAAAAUAAACAAAAAGUAUAAAGAGAAGAGAAGAAAAUAAACAAAAAGUUAUAAAGAAGAGAGAAAAAUAAACAAAAAGUAUAAAGAAGAAGAAAAAUAGAACGAAAAAAAUAUAAAGAAGAGAGAAAAUAAACAAAAAGUAUAAGAAGAGAGAAAAAAUAAACAAAAGUAUAAAGGAAGAGAAGAAAAAAUAACAAAAGUAUAGAAGGAAGGAGAAGAGAAAAUAAAACAAAAAGUAAUAAAGGAAGAGAGAAAAAAUAACAAAAGUAUAAAGAAGAGAGAAAAAAACAACAAAAGUAGAUAAAGAAGAGAGAAAAUGAACAAGUAUAAAGAAGAAAGAAAGAAUAAAACAAAGAAGUAUAAAGAAGAGGGAAAAAAUAACAAAAGUAUAAAGAACAGAGAAAAAAUAAAGCAAAAGUAUAAAGAAAGAGGAGAAAAAUAAACAAAAGUUAUAAAGAAGCAGAGAAAAUAAACAAAAAGUAUAGAAAAGAAAGAAAAUAAACAAAAAGUAUAAAGAAGAGAGAAAAAUAAACAAAAAGAUUAAGAAGAAGAGAAAAAGUAAACAAAAGUAUAAAGAAGAGAGA
Molecule: long non-coding RNA, 1271 nt
Filed under: Mytilus galloprovincialis (Mediterranean mussel)
Lineage: Eukaryota; Metazoa; Mollusca; Bivalvia; Mytilida; Mytilidae
Source: RNAcentral